UUGGGAAUCGUACACAAUGGACGCAAGUCUGAUGUCGCGACACCGCGUGAAGGAUGAAGGCUUUCGGGUUGUAAACUUCUUUUAUAGGGGACGAUGAUGACGGUACCCUAUGAAUAAGCGACGGCUAACUACGUGCCAGCAGCCGCGGUAAUACGUAGGUCGCAAGCGUUAUCCGGAAUUAUUGGGCGUAAAGAAUGCGUAGGUGGUUUAAAAAGUUGCCCGUUAAAUCUUCAGGCUCAACCUGAUUCUCGCGGGCAAGACUUUUAAGCUAGAGUAUAACAGGGGCAAGUGGAAUUCCCGGUGUAGGAGUGAAAUCCGUUGAUAUCGGGAGGAACACCAAUGGCGAAGGCAGCUUGCUAGGUUAAUCUGACACUGAGGCAUGAAAGCGUGGGGAGCGAACGGG
RNAcentral lists this ribosomal RNA (403 nucleotides) under uncultured bacterium. RNAcentral's name for it is "bacterial SSU rRNA". It matches the Rfam family "Bacterial small subunit ribosomal RNA", at positions 355 to 776 of the family's 1533-position model. The record is from RNAcentral.